GUCUUUAUAGUUUAAUUAUAAGAAUUUGGUUCUGAAGAUACCAUGGUAUUUAUUUUAAAGACA
RNAcentral lists this transfer RNA (63 nucleotides) under Batracomorphus nigromarginattus. RNAcentral describes it as "tRNA-Phe". The record is from RNAcentral. Lineage: Eukaryota; Metazoa; Arthropoda; Insecta; Hemiptera; Cicadellidae.